Molecule: ribosomal RNA, 372 nt
Filed under: uncultured organism
Description: bacterial SSU rRNA
Rfam family: Bacterial small subunit ribosomal RNA
Source: RNAcentral
CGUAGGUGGCGAGCGUUGUCCGGAAUUACUGGGCGUAAAGGGUGCGUAGGUGGAUAUUUAAGUCAGAUGUGAAACUCCCGGGCUUAACCUGGGAACUGCAUUUGAAACUGGACAUCUAGAGUGCAGGAGAGGAAAGCGGAAUUCCUAGUGUAGCGGUGAAAUGCGUAGAUAUUAGGAAGAACACCAGUGGCGAAGGCGGCUUUCUGGACUGUAACUGACACUGAGGCACGAAAGCGUGGGGAGCAAACAGGAUUAGAUACCCUGGUAGUCCACGCUGUAAACUAUGAGUGCUAGGUGUAGGGGGUAUCGACACCCUCUGUGCCGCAGCAAACGCAAUAAGCACUCCGCCUGGGGAGUACGGUCGCAAGACUA